UCUGAAAUUUUUAGAUGGGCAUUUGAAUAACUCUGGUAUGUGGGAGUCAGUUCUUGUCCACAAUAUAUUUGAGAAUGCUGUAUGUCAACAAGGAAAUUAUGAUAAAGACAAUUCUCAGAGACUUACUAGCUGUGUUACUCUUUUAUGAAUAUAAAACUACAUUUUGAGAUCUCAUUUUCUCCAAUAAAGUUCCUUUAUGUGAAUGUAUGAAUGCAAGGAAUGUAAGAAAUGCCUUCAGCUUAACCCCCAUGUACAUUAAAGAUAAUUCCAGGACAGAAAUAUAUAAUAGGAAUAAAAAUUUGUGCAGACAAGGACAACAACAAUUAUGAAAGCUGUUGCAUAUGUUCCAGAAAUUAUAUGGGAAAAAAUUGCUCAGGUUUGAAAAGACAUGACUAUGAUAAAAAUCUCUGAAUAUUAUGUUGAAAAGGGAUAGAAAAUUAUUAUUCUGUGUUUCUUAUAAUGGCAGAACUAGAAGGCAUUUAAUGAGGUUACAGGCAGCAGAUUAAAAACAAAUAAUGCAAGAGAAAGUACUUUUUUUUUUUCUUAGAGUGUGUAAUCAAAUUGUGGCUGUCACUGCCAACAGAACAUUUAAAAAACUAAAAUAGGAGCAGUUAGGAAAGCUGAUGGAGGGUUGAUCAUUGAGUGAUUUGAAACAUGUUGAACUGCAUGAUAUUGUCAGCUCAGAAAGCCACUAAUCCUUUGUUGCAGGAAUCUGGGAGAGUGUCCCAGCCAGAGGUCUUGUAAUACUUUUUUAUCCCCUCUUUGCAUAGCAUUCCCUAUGGAUAUCAUUCCAGACAAGUUGCUGGGUAGAUGGAGCUUUCAAGAAAAAGUCUGUGUUUGUAUUUUGGUAUUGGAGACACUGGAAGAAGAGAGUCCAGGAUGAUCUGCUGGCUGGGGGAGGAAUGGGAGGAAGAGAAUUUGGAAGUCAUACAGCAUCUGGAGUUGUCUGUCUGGAGCUGACAGGUUAUUACGCUGCACAUGAAAAUGGUGAUAGUGAGAACUUUGCAGCAGUGUGGGAAGCUGAGUGCAAUGCUUUUCACCCAAAAGGACUCCCGAUUGUGUAACUGGCAAUCUACAAUUCCUGGUCACGAAGUCCCAUGGCUGGCAGGAUGUGGCUGCUCAGCCCUGACUUUGUAAACCUUAGAUGGUCUCUCCACAGUGGCAGUGGCCUGGUGGUGUGUCAGCUAAGAGAGACACCCGUGGUCACACACCUGAGUCAUUACAGGGCAGGUCAUGGAGCUUGUUACUGAUAUUAAUUCCUUGUUCCUAUACACCUAUGAAAACUUCCCAGUUUUAGGACUGAAUGUUAUAUAUUUCUUUCUUUCUUUACUCUUUCUUUCCUUUCAUUGCCUUGGGAAAUGCUGUCUUGGAUAAUGAAAUAUGACAAAAGGCUUAGCUUCACUUUUCUCUUCUCUUUGUGUCCCAGAUGCAUGUACAGUUUCUGAUCCUUCCAGUUCUUUCAGCUCUGAGGACACAAGAGUGUUAGAGAAGUUAUUUUAAUUUUUCAUUUACAUUACUUAACACUUUGUUAUCAGAAUUCCAG
This 1543-nucleotide long non-coding RNA is filed under the name Corvus moneduloides (New Caledonian crow). RNAcentral's name for it is "lncRNA (ENSCMUG00000017985.1)". Lineage: Eukaryota; Metazoa; Chordata; Aves; Passeriformes; Corvidae. The record is from RNAcentral.